CACUAUGCCUAGCCCUAAACAUUGAUGGCCUAAUACCUAAGCCAUCCGCCAGGGAACUACGAGCAUUAGCUUAAAACCCAAAGGACUUGGCGGUGCUUUAGAUCCACCUAGAGGAGCCUGUUCUAGAACCGAUAACCCCCGUUCAACCUCACCUUUCCUUGUUCAACCCGCCUAUAUACCACCGUCGUCAGCUCAUCCUGUGAAGGCCCCUUAAUAAGCAAAAUUGGCAAAGCCCAAAACGUCAGGUCGAGGUGUAGCGUACGGAAAGGGAAGAAAUGGGCUACAUUCCCUGCCUUAGGGAAUUACGAAUGAUAUACUGAAAGACAUAUCUGAAGGAGGAUUUAGUAGUAAGAGAAGAACAGAGAGCUUCUCUGAAACCGGCCCUGAAGCGCGCACACACCGCCCGUCACUCUCCCCAAGCUACCGCACCUAAAUAAAUAAUACAUUAAAUCCCGCUAAGGGGAGGCAAGUCGUAA
RNAcentral lists this ribosomal RNA (476 nucleotides) under Balistoides conspicillum (clown triggerfish). RNAcentral describes it as "partial small subunit ribosomal RNA". It matches the Rfam family "Bacterial small subunit ribosomal RNA", at positions 788 to 1491 of the family's 1533-position model. Lineage: Eukaryota; Metazoa; Chordata; Actinopteri; Tetraodontiformes; Balistidae. The record is from RNAcentral.